GCCCUUUUACAACAUUUGAUCAAAUCAAAUUUCAACCAAAAUCUAAUCUACACAUUCCCAUGGUUCAAACAAAUUUGAAACGGCCUUUCACAUAGCUCAAUUAUCGUAGGCUUAGGUUCAUAAUCACCCUUUAAUUAAUUAACACUUUAACUAAUUAAAUUGAAUGCAACAUUUUCAUUUGGUUUUUGUAUCCAUAAGAUUGAUUUAAAUGGAGCUAAAUGAAAUGAAAAUCCAAUUCUCAUUUAAAGAGACAAAACAAUUUUGUUCUCUACCUAAUUUGGGCCAAUAUGCAAUAACCACAACUUUUGGGCUAUAUUGCAAAAACAAAAACUUUUGGGGUCACUUUGUAAAAUCACAAAAGUCCACUACUUCAUGAAAUUACACUAGAACCCAAAAUUUUAAUAAUGCAAAAACUUCAUUAAAGGAGCAAAACAAUUUGUCCUUUAGCGUUUUUGGACCUAAACGUAAAAACGUAAACUUUUGGGCCAAAGUGCAAAUACACAAAAGUAUCAAAACUUUAUGUAAUUGCAUAAAAGCCCCAAAAGUACUCCCACUUGAGGGAGGGCCGGUUUUAGGAGAGAGGGAGAGAAAAAAUUGAAGCCACAAAAUUUGGAAAUUUUUUCAACUAAGUCAUAAAGCCUUGCAAGUGGAAUUUGGUUGUUGUGAAUCAUAAAACCAUGCAUGUGGUGUGUAAGGUGUGUAAGUCUUACACACCCAUCACAAUUUCUAUCACCUUUCAAAAUAAAUGUUUUGGUGAUAGAAAAUUCACAUCAACCAACACAAAACAAAGACUUUAUGAAAUUAACCAAAACUUUGAAUCAAAACACCAAACUUUUUGUUCUUGGCUAAAAUGUCAAGAACAAUGAAGAACAUUCAUGAAAAACCCAUAAGAGCUCCAUGAACAUUUUUCACCCAAAAACAUCCCAAAACCAUUCAAACUUUAGGGAAAUAACAUAUAACCAAACUAGGGUACAUAGGGGUUCCAA
This 986-nucleotide long non-coding RNA is filed under the name Malus domestica (apple). Its description in RNAcentral is "long non-coding RNA (MDOM_LNC016915)". Lineage: Eukaryota; Viridiplantae; Streptophyta; Magnoliopsida; Rosales; Rosaceae. The record is from RNAcentral.